AGUCAUUCUCCUUCACUUUUCACCUCUUCUCAAAACCCUUGCGCCACUAUUUUUUUCCCUUUUUUUUUACCAUUUUAUGGACCUCUUCGCCGCCGAUCACUUCCCCGUCCCCGACCACGUCGCUCCAUUUCCUGAUUCCGGCGACCUUUUAUUCCCUGCCGACCUCCUCUCCCACCCCCAGAAGCUCCGCCCCAUCCGGUCCCUUCCCUCCGCUCUCAAUGCCCACCCUCGUCCGCCCGAUCUGAUUUCCUCCGAGUCGGGUCACACCCCGAGCCAAGAAUCUGACUCGGCUUUGGAUGCGGAGGAUGAAGAGGAGAAUGAUGACAAUUCAUCAGCAAGCCCUGAAGGAAAUGCGGAGGUUUAAUUUUUCAUGACUAGUUUAAAAGUUUCAACGAUGUUACGGAGUGGACAAAAUUGCAUAAUCUUUCUAAUUAACAAUGGCGGAUACUCUACAAAGAUACAAAUCCAUGAUGGACCUUACAAUGUCAUAAAAAACUGGGACUAUGCUGGACUGGUGGAAAAAAUAGACAAUGGUGAAGGCAAGUGCUGGACUACUAAGGUGCACUGUGAGGAGGAGCUAACAGAAGCAAUAAAGAUAGCAAUGGAAAGAAAAAAGAGUUGCCUAUGCUUCAUUGAAGUGAUAGUUGAGAGCGAUGAUGCAAGCAAGGAAUUGAUUGUGUUGGGAAGCAGGCUUGCGGCUUUUAGUGGUCGCCCACCUAAGGAUAAUUAAGAUUUCGCAGAUCUUAUAACAUAUAUUAUACUAUUGUUUAAAGUUUAUUUAUCAUCAUCCAAAUAUAAUAUUUUAUCCUUACAAAUUGUCAUUAGUCAAUUAUUUGAAAAAAAAAAUUAUCAAACAAAUACUUUUAUACUAAGAACGUAGUCUAUGUAGGGCUAGGUUCAUGUUUGCAUGAGUUGUAUUAAAUAAAUAGAAAAGAGGAUUGCUUGAUUUAUUGCUGGUUUUACAUGUAUUUGUAUUGGUUUAUGUUAAGUACAAAUAAAUGAUAUUUAAGUGGUUUCUUCCUUUUGUAAUACCAGAUUUAAU
This is a long non-coding RNA of Vigna angularis (adzuki bean), 1042 nucleotides long. RefSeq lists it as uncharacterized. The transcript is spliced from 3 exons. NCBI's taxonomy places the organism in Eukaryota, Viridiplantae, Streptophyta, Magnoliopsida, Fabales, Fabaceae. The record is from RefSeq and is a predicted model, not a curated record.